This 1028-nucleotide long non-coding RNA is filed under the name Ananas comosus (pineapple). Its description in RNAcentral is "long non-coding RNA (ACOM_LNC016442)". The record is from RNAcentral. Lineage: Eukaryota; Viridiplantae; Streptophyta; Magnoliopsida; Poales; Bromeliaceae.
UGUAGAAAAUAUUUUUUGUGAUUUUUCGGUAUCAUUUUCCUAGUGAUCGAAAGGGUUUAAUAUAUAUAUAUAUAUACUACUUAUAAAAGCGUGAGCUUUAAAUUUUUUUCUCUUUCCAAAAAUACCUCUAUCUUUUCUACUAAUAUUUUCAUGUCCAGUAAUUUUCAACCAUUCGUUUCAAAUAAAUUUUCAAAUAAAAAUCUAUUCUCAAAUAUAGAUCUUGAAUUUUUACCAUUGGAUCUCAUCCAACGAUUAAAAAUAAAAAUAUCUGUCACUUUUCUUGACAAAAAUAUCCUUAAUAUCCGUUAUCUCCUAUCUACGCGUUUUACAAAUAUCUAUGUGUUUUUUUAAACAUAAUUACCGCCAUAACUUAAAAUAUCCGUUAUCUCCUAUUUACGUGUUUCUCAAAUAUUUUCUUUCUCACAUGUAAUACGUGCACGAAUCAUGUAAAAUAUUCUUAGAAAGAUUUAAUACCCAUUAAAGCAAAACUAAAUUGUUAAUUAAAUAUAAUUUUAAAUUUUUUAAUUUUUUAGUAAAAUAUUCAAAAAUAAUACCCGCCAAAAUAUUUUACGCAUUUCUCAAAUAUAGAGCAUAUCUUAAUGCACUCGCAUAUAAUAUUGCUAGAAAAUUUAAUACACGCCUAAGCAAAACUAAAUUGUUAAUUAAAUAUAAUUUUAAAAUUUUGAAUUUUUUAGUAAAAUAUUCAAAAAUAAUACCCUAAAAUAUUUUACGUGUUUCUCAAAUACAGAGCAUAUCUUAAUGCACUCGCAUAUCAUAUCUACAUAUCUUUACAUAUAAUAUCUAUAUCCAAUCUUAUCUCAUCAUAAUAUUCAUUCACACACAGAAUAUAUAUAUUUUUUAGACAUAUAUUGUUUUAGUAAUAUCUUUUUUUUUUUCACCUAUAUUUUUCUUAAAUACUUUUUUAGUAAUAUCCUUUCUCAUUUAUCUCCAUCACUAGUACCAGUACAUCGUAGCGCAUCGUCAUCGUCGACACCGGCAUAUUGUCACCUUCGCCACCUUCGUCAUAC